CCUACGGGGGGCAGCAGUGAGGAAUAUUGGUCAAUGGGCUUACGCCUGAACCAGCCAAGUCGCGUGAGGGAAGACUGCCCUAUGGGUUGUAAACCUCUUUUGUCAGGGAGCAACGCCGGCUACGUGUAGCCUGACUCAGAGUACCUGAAGAAAAAGCAUCGGCUAACUCCGUGCCAGCAGCCGCGGUAAUACGGAGGAUGCGAGCGUUAGCCGGAUUUAUUGGGUUUAAAGGGUGCGUAGGCGGAAUGCCAAGUCAGCGGGAAAAUCGCGGGGCUCAACCUCGCUCCGCCGUUGAAACUGGCGUUCUUGAGUGGGCGAGAAGUAUGCGGAAUGCGGGGUGUAGCGGUGAAAUGCAUAGAUAUCACGAAGAACUCCGAUUGCGAAGGCAGCAUACCGGCGCCCAACUGACGCUGAAGCACGAAAGCGUGGGUAUCGAACAGGAUUAGAUACCCUUGUAGUC
RNAcentral lists this ribosomal RNA (460 nucleotides) under uncultured bacterium. Its description in RNAcentral is "partial 16S ribosomal RNA". It matches the Rfam family "Bacterial small subunit ribosomal RNA", at positions 338 to 795 of the family's 1533-position model. The record is from RNAcentral.